This 1795-nucleotide long non-coding RNA is filed under the name Lathyrus oleraceus (garden pea). RNAcentral describes it as "Pisum sativum (pea) long non-coding RNA (PSAT_LNC034059)". Lineage: Eukaryota; Viridiplantae; Streptophyta; Magnoliopsida; Fabales; Fabaceae. The record is from RNAcentral.
AAAUAUAUGUGUUAAACACUAAAACAAGAGAAAAUGCGGAUUUUUUAUGAUUAAUUUUAUUGACUUAAAUUGUAAUGUGUUGAUAUUUGAGUUGUUUUAAAUAUGAAAAUCUAAAAUAAAAUAUAUUGAUAUCAAAAUAUGUUGUUUAAAAAAAAUUACAAUGAAAAAAGGAAAUAAAAAAAAUGACAUUUUUAUAGACAAAGAUGGGUUAAAGUUAUGAAAGAUAAGACAAAUAUUGAAAAUAACGUAGAGCUACUUUUUUUAGAAACAUGAAACCUAUUAGAUGGAUACAUGGCAAAAGAGCUAAGUUUGCUUUGAACAUUAUAGGAUGGGUUGAAGCACUCCAAAUGCAUGACUUUGAAUUAAAAUGGCAUAUACAAAUACUUAUUACUUAGCUACUUAUUGUAUUUUUUUUUUCAUAGUAGCCUUCUAAAGGUGACUAUGUUUACUACACCAAAUCAUUAUUGAAAGAAUCAUUUAUCCUUAUUUCAUACCUUUUUAAAAAAAAUCAAAUAUAUGUGUUAAACACUAAAACAAGAGAAUAUGCGGAUUUUUUAUGAUUAAUUUUAUUGACUUAAAUUGUAAUGUGUUGAUAUUUGAGUUGUUUUAAAUAUGAAAAUCUAAAAUAAAAUAUAUUGAUAUCAAAAUAUGUUGUUUAAAAAAAAUUACAAUGAAAAAAAGAAAUAAAAAAAUGACGUUUUUAUAGACAAAGAUGGGUUAAAGUUAUGAAAGAUAAAACAAAUAUUGAAAAUAACGUAGAGCUACUUUUUUUUAGAAACAUGAAACCUAUUAGAUGGAUACAUGGCAAAAGAGCUAAGUUUGCUUUGAACAUUAUAGGAUGGGUUGAAGCACUCCAAAUGCAUGACUUUGAAUUAAAAUGGCAUAUACAAAUACUUAUUACUUAGCUACUUAUUGUAUUUUUUUUUUCAUAGUAGCCUUCUAAAGGUGACUAUGUUUACUACACCAAAUCAUUAUUGAAAGAAUCAUUUAUCCUUAUUUCAUACCUUUUUAAAAAAAAUCAAAUAUAUGUGUUAAACACUAAAACAAGAGAAUAUGCGGAUUUUUUAUGAUUAAUUUUAUUGACUUAAAUUGUAAUGUGUUGAUAUUUGAGUUGUUUUAAAUAUGAAAAUCUAAAAUAAAAUAUAUUGAUAUCAAAAUAUGUUGUUUAAAAAAAAUUACAAUGAAAAAAAGAAAUAAAAAAAUGACGUUUUUAUAGACAAAGAUGGGUUAAAGUUAUGAAAGAUAAAACAAAUAUUGAAAAUAACGUUGAGCUACUUUUUUUUAGAAACAUGAAACCUAUUAGAUGGAUACAUGGCAAAAGAGCUAAGUUUGCUUUGAACAUUAUAGGAUGGGUUGAAGCACUCCAGACGCAUGACUUUGAAUUAAAACGGCAUAUACAAAUACUUAUUACUUAGCUACUUAUUGUAUUUUUUUUUUACUUAGUAGCCUUUUAAAGGUGACUUUGUUUACUACACCAAUUCAUUACUGAAAGAAUCAUUUAUCCUUAUUUCAUACCUUUAAAAAAAAACCAAAUAUAUGAUUAAUUUUAUUGACUUAAAUUGUAUUGGGUUGAUAAUUGAGGUUUUUUAAGUAUGAAAAUCUAAAAUAAAAUAUAUUGAUAUCAACAUAUGUUGGUUAAAAAAAAUUACAAUAAAAAAAUGAAAUAAAAAAAUGUCGUUUUUAUAGACAAAGAUAGGUUAAUGUUAUGAAAGACAAGACAAAUAUUGAAAAUAACGUAGAGCUACUUUUUUUAGAAACAUGAAACCUAUUAGAUGGAUACAUGGCAAAAGAGCUA